AACGAACGCUGGCGGCAGGCCUAAUACAUGCAAGUUGAGCGAGAAGCCACCUUCGGGUGGUGGACAGCAGCGCACGGGUGAGUAACGCGUGGGAAAAUACCCCAAGGUACGGAAUAACUACUGGAAACGGUAGCUAAUACCGUAUGUUCCUUGAGAGGCAAAGAUUUAUCGCCUUGGGAUUUGCCCGCGUCUGAUUAGAUAGUUGGUGAGGUAGUGGCUCACCAAGUCAACGAUCAGUAGCUGGUUUGAGAGAAUGAUCAGCCACACUGGGACUGAGACACGGCCCAG
RNAcentral lists this ribosomal RNA (288 nucleotides) under uncultured bacterium. Its description in RNAcentral is "partial 16S ribosomal RNA". It matches the Rfam family "Bacterial small subunit ribosomal RNA", at positions 29 to 334 of the family's 1533-position model. The record is from RNAcentral.